RNAcentral lists this ribosomal RNA (2466 nucleotides) under Triticum aestivum (bread wheat). Its description in RNAcentral is "partial small subunit ribosomal RNA". Lineage: Eukaryota; Viridiplantae; Streptophyta; Magnoliopsida; Poales; Poaceae. The record is from RNAcentral.
AUGGUUUCGGUGGCCUACUUCUUGCUUUGUCUCCAACUUACUCAUGACCCAACCAUUGCAUUGCCUCCUCGCUUCGCCACAGACAUGUCGACAACUAUGACUGCCACUUACGGUUCGCAGCAGCAUGCCGGAGACCAUUCCCUGAAGCCACACUUUGGGCCAACAACAAAGUACUCGUUCUCCCAUGCCUCCACGGCCCCCACACGCGCUCGGUCCAUGGCAGUGCCCAGCCCAUUUGUGGCUCCGCGGCGGCACGCAGGCACCGGCCAUUGUUUGCGCUCCGCUAGCUACACUGCCCACCUGCUCCGCACAACAUGCAUAAGGAAUUGCUGGUCGGUGACAUCAUCGGUUUGCCACUCGAGUCGCAUCAUGUCCAGCGCAAGUUGCAGCAUUGCCACAUGCUUGUCGCACCUCCCGACCUCCUUGGCCGCAACUCCCACGUGCCAUUUUGGAAUGACAUCACACAUCGAUUUCAGCACCCGUGUACCACCUUCUAAGCUCCUGCCUCACCCCUUUCCAGCACCUGCACAUGGAGCCGGGCCACGUUACAACAUUGAGUUGCUACAUAGCAGUAGUGUGGCGAGAGGUGGUGGCCAUAGCAUCCAGCUCUCCGAUUUCGUCUUUGGUUUGGAAGAGGUAGGGGACGAGGGAGGUUCACACUCGAGGAGAAAUCUGGGUGGGGUGCUCACCAUGGGGUUAGGGAAGGAGCAGGAGGUCCACCCGGACGAUCCCUCGCACGCAAACCGAGGUAGCCGCGGCUGCGCGCACUGCAGUGAUGGCGGUGCAUCCGUGCCCAUAGCUAAUUGCUCGCGUAUCGGUCUGGGGUGGCUGCAUGUGAUGCAUGCUGUGCACACGUGCCCCCAGCCGUCAGCAUACUCAACUGUGGCUGCCUGCAUGUGCCGUGCAGCUCCCUCCAGCUCCAUAGUCGUCUCUAUGUCUACCAUGUGUUUUCUGCUUGAGCUGAAAUAUUGUGCACGUAAACAUGUUCUGUACGUGCCCAUUAGUCUGUUUUACAUCUUUGGCGUCGAUUGGAGGUGCAGUGGCGGCAGCGUGAAGCUGAUGGUGGACAAGGACCCAACAAAAGACCUCUUGGGCGGCGCAAAGUAUCAGCCGCCCAAGAAGCACGCCGGCGGCGAUGGCAGCUCAGAGAAGAGCGGUGCUGUCGUGGGAGAUGCCGACUACGACGAGGAGAACGAUCAAUGGGCGAUGGCGGCGAUUUCGUUGUCGGUACCCGACAAUGUUAUGAAGAAUCUCGCUGAGUACAAGACCACGCGUGAGGCGUGGGCCGCGAUCCGCACGAUGAAGGUCGGGGAAGACCGUGUAGUACAAGCACGGAUACAGUCGCUGCUCCGGCGUCUUGAUCGGCUGAACAUGGCUGAUGGUGAGGAUGUGUCCGCGUUCUCCCGGCGUCUCACAACCUUGAUCAUUGACACAACUGAGCAGUGGCCGGAUAUGAGCAAGAUGAUGGUAGCUGAGGCUCUGGGUCAUCUGCGUACAUUUGAGGAAAACGAGUCUGGCCGCAAUGAUGAUCGUGGCGGCAAGGAUUAUCAGAUGUUGCUUAUGACCAAUGCCCUUGAGUUCUUUUUCCUGAAGAAGAAAGUCAGUCCCGGCGCCGGCGGAAGCAGCAGUAUGGGAAAGCCAAACCAGUCAAACUCCUGCCGUGGCAGCGGAACCAUCAGGGGAAAACAUUGCCGUGGCAGCAGAAACUCCAGCCCGAAACGUUGCAGUGACAGCAGAAACUCCAACCAGAACCACUGUCAUGGCAGCAGAAACUCCAGCAAGAACCCCUUCCAUGGCAUCGAAAUCUCCUGUUUUGUAGACUCCUUCGCCAACACAUCCAGGGCUUGGUUCCAUUGGCUCGUUGGAAACUACCAACACCUCAAGCUCGUCCGUGGGGCCACAAGGGAAGAGGUUUCUGGAAGAAAUAUAUGCUCAAACCAAGGAGAUUUUCUGUUUCAGCUGAAAUCUGGUGCACGGAAACAUGUUCUAUACGUGCCCACUAGUCUGUUUUACAUCUUAAGAAAAGCUACAUCCAAGAAUCAGAUCUGGGCACACAUGAUCCUCCAUAAACCUUCCGGUGAUAUGAAAAAGCAGAACCGGAACGAGGGUGAUGCGAGGGGACCUUAUUUCAUGUUGACGGCACCAGCGAUUGCUUGGAUGCUGGAGAAGGCUAUAGCGGCUUUGCCCUCCAUAUCGACUUCCAUUUCAGCCAUGGCUACGGUCUCCACGCAUAUGGGCGUCACGAUCCCCUUCGGUCUUGCUCAGGAUAGAUCCAGGAGGGGCGUUUUGGUGCGACGUGAUGGGGUUGAGGUGGGUGUGGAGGAAGACAAGUGGAGGACAGAAAGAUGCAUGAGUGUGGCGGCGAUGUGGGUGUUGUCCGGUUUAUAUAGAAGCGAGCAGUGCUCUCUAACCGCAAAAUGGGGGGUGGGGCAGGGGGAGAGCCGUAAAAGGAUACGUGCAUGCUAG